RNAcentral lists this ribosomal RNA (460 nucleotides) under uncultured bacterium. RNAcentral's name for it is "partial 16S ribosomal RNA". It matches the Rfam family "Bacterial small subunit ribosomal RNA", at positions 338 to 795 of the family's 1533-position model. The record is from RNAcentral.
CCUACGGGAGGCAGCAGUGAGGAAUAUUGGUCAAUGGACGCAAGUCUGAACCAGCCAUGCCGCGUGCAGGAAGAAGGUUCUAUGCAUUGUAAACUGCUUUUAUACGGGGGUAAUUCCAGAUACGUGUAUCUUUCUGAACGUACCUUAUGAAUAAGGAUCGGCUAACCCCGUGCCAGCAGCCGCGGUAAUACGGAGGAUCCGAGCGUUAUCCGGAUUUAUUGGGUUUAAAGGGUGCGUAGGCGGUCAGGUAAGUCAGAUGGGAAAGGGCGAGGCUCAACCUCGAAACUGCCUUUGAUACUGGCGGAGUAGAGUGGAGUUGAGGAAGGCGGAAUGUGUGGUGUAGCGGUGAAAUGCUUAGAUAUCACACAGAACACCGAUUGCGAAGGCAGCUUUCUAAGCUAUAACUGACGCUGAGGCACGAAAGCGUGGGGAGCGAACAGGAUUAGAUACCCUGGUAGUC